Molecule: small RNA, 73 nt
Filed under: Xanthomonas bromi
Lineage: Bacteria; Pseudomonadati; Pseudomonadota; Gammaproteobacteria; Lysobacterales; Lysobacteraceae
Description: sX9 sRNA
Rfam family: Xanthomonas sRNA sX9
Source: RNAcentral
AUGUACCACGCGUACAUGCCGUUUCCUCAGCGCCGUCCACAGCCACCUGACGACUGCUACGGCUUGAUUAGCC